RNAcentral lists this long non-coding RNA (1221 nucleotides) under Felis catus (domestic cat). RNAcentral's name for it is "lncRNA (ENSFCAG00000041970.2)". The record is from RNAcentral. Lineage: Eukaryota; Metazoa; Chordata; Mammalia; Carnivora; Felidae.
UUAUGAUUCAUGCAGACGCUGGCUGGGCUCCUGCCAGCCUGGCCUGAGGAGGCUCCACAGUUGGAACUGGAUAGGCCUGAAAAUAUGGCCCCCCCGGGACUGCCCGGGCCACGCUCUAGGGAGCUGGGCGGGCCAGAGGCCUGGAGGGGGUUCUGAGAAUCGGGAAAUGGAGACACAUGGCUGCCUCGGCCUUCUUCUGUCUGUGCAGCUGGAGCCCCAGGGAGAAAUCUACAGCCAUUACCCAACCAGACAGAGCAAAAAGAAAUGAGUUUAAAGUACCAGAAGGAGGACUCGGAUAAUAAUAAUGUAGUGAGUGGCUUGGGCAGCAACUGUUGCAAUAAUAUUACCUCCCAUUUGCGCAGGACUUUACUGUGCACAAAAUGCUUUGCCAUAUAUUAUCAUAUUUGACCCUCACAACAAUGCUGCGAAAUAGGCAGCCUUCACCUGGAUUUGCAAGGAAGGAGGGUGGAACUCAGAGGAAUUCAUUUGCCAAAAGUUGCACAGCCAGUUAGGAAGCCUGUCUUCCAAGUUCACUGCGCAGAAGGAGAUCUACCUGAGCGAACGAGAACACUGGGCAGCUCGGCACUAAAGGAACACCACGGGUUUAGGAACAGAGGCCUCCUUAAGAAGUUUGAAUGAAAUUUAGAAAGAAUCUGGCUGGGGAAAAUGAAAUGACCCCCGAGAGCUCCAAGUUCAUGCCAGGAUAGCUGGGAAGGCGGAAAGGCCAUGGCCGUGAACAUGGAGUGUGGUACUCAUGCCUUCGAACAUUUACUCUGGUAGCACAGGGAUGAUGGUGACUCUGCUCCUACUUUUAGACACCAGCGGAUGAAGGUGAUGGGACCAACAAUGAAAUGCUCUGUCCAGGCUUCAGACCAGUCCCCAUGGCUCAUCUGCGGAUCACCUCGUAUCGCCUUUUGCACCUCGCUCUGAGGGGCUCUGGGCCAAGCGACGGCAGGCUCCUUCCAUCUCCGCGGAAGCCUGUGAUGCAUUCCUCAGGGGAACACCUUCCUUUUUUUCCCUCCAUGAAUGGAGAACAACGUUCGCAGAAGCUCCGAGUCCCCAUUGGGAGAGAGAAAAGAUCGGCGCGUUUCACGGAUGCUGAAGCCAGAUUCUGAGACGGAUGACAAAGUCAUCGCUAAUUGCGGCCAAUUACUCUACCCGGUGGUAUUGGUAAGGAAAAUGACUUCAAGCCCCAGAGUUGUCUAGGAAAGAAUUACCAUA